CAGUAGCCGCGGUAAUACAGAGGGUGCGAGCGUUAAUCGGAUUUACUGGGCGUAAAGCGUGCGUAGGCGGCUUCUUAAGUCGGAUGUGAAAUCCCUGAGCUUAACUUAGGAAUUGCAUUCGAUACUGGGAAGCUAGAGUAUGGGAGAGGAUGGUAGAAUUCCAGGUGUAGCGGUGAAAUGCGUAGAGAUCUGGAGGAAUACCGAUGGCGAAGGCAGCCAUCUGGCCUAAUACUGACGCUGAGGUACGAAAGCAUGGGGAGCAAACAGGAUUAGAGACCCCUGUAGUCCCCUGUCUCUUAUA
RNAcentral lists this ribosomal RNA (301 nucleotides) under uncultured bacterium. Its description in RNAcentral is "partial 16S ribosomal RNA". It matches the Rfam family "Bacterial small subunit ribosomal RNA", at positions 509 to 808 of the family's 1533-position model. The record is from RNAcentral.